Molecule: ribosomal RNA, 324 nt
Filed under: uncultured bacterium
Lineage: Bacteria
Description: bacterial SSU rRNA
Rfam family: Bacterial small subunit ribosomal RNA
Source: RNAcentral
GAUGAACGCUGGCGGGCGUGCCUAACACAUGCAAGUCGAACGGACAUUUUUGGAAAGCUCUUCGGAACUGGAAUCUAAAUGUUAGUGGCGGACGGGUGAGUAACGCGUGAGCAAUCUGCCUUUCAGAGGGGGAUAACAGCCGGAAACGGCUGCUAAUACCGCAUAAUGCAUUGGAUUCGCAUGUUUCUGAUGCCAAAGAUUUUAUCGCUGAAAGAUGAGCUCGCGUCUGAUUAGCUAGUUGGCGGGGCAACGGCCCACCAAGGCGACGAUGCGUAGCCGGCCUGAGAGGGCGGACGGCCACACUGGGACUGAGACACGGCCCAG